Molecule: ribosomal RNA, 491 nt
Filed under: uncultured bacterium
Lineage: Bacteria
Description: partial 16S ribosomal RNA
Rfam family: Bacterial small subunit ribosomal RNA
Source: RNAcentral
AGUGAACGCUGGCGGUAGGCCUAACACAUGCAAGUCGAACGGCAGCACAGUAAGAGCUUGCUCUUACGGGUGGCGAGUGGCGGACGGGUGAGGAAUACAUCGGAAUCUACUUUUUCGUGGGGGAUAACGUAGGGAAACUUACGCUAAUACCGCAUACGACCUACGGGUGAAAGCAGGGGAUCUUCGGACCUUGCGCGAUUGAAUGAGCCGAUGUCGGAUUAGCUAGUUGGCGGGGUAAAGGCCCACCAAGGCGACGAUCCGUAGCUGGUCUGAGAGGUUGAUCAGCCACACUGGAACUAGACACGGUCCAGACUCCUACGGGAGGCAGCAGUGGGGAAUAUUGGACAAUGGGCGCAAGCCUGAUCCAGCCAUACCGCGUGGGUGAAGAAGGCCUUCGGGUUGUAAAGCCCUUUUGUUGGGAAAGAAAAGCAGCAGGUUAAUACCCCGCUGUUCUGACGGUACCCAAAGAAUAAGCACCGGCUAACUUCGUG